CCUACGGGGUGCAGCAGUGAGGAAUAUUGGUCAAUGGUCGGGAGACUGAACCAGCCAAGCCGCGUGAGGGAUGAAGGUACAGAGUAUCGUAAACCUCUUUUGUCAGGGAACAAAGGCGGGGACGUGUCCCCGGAUGCGUGUACCUGAAGAAAAAGCAUCGGCUAACUCCGUGCCAGCAGCCGCGGUAAUACGGAGGAUGCGAGCGUUAUCCGGAUUUAUUGGUUUUAAAGGGUGCGAAGGCGGUCUGUUAAGUCAGCGGUCAAAGCCCGGGGCUCAACCCCGGCCCGCAGUUGAGACUGGCAGUCUCGAGUUGGAGAGAAGUAUGCGGAAUGCGCGGUGUAGCGGUGAAAUGCAUAGAUAUCGCGCAGAACUCCGAUUGCGAAGGCAGCAUGCCGGCUCCACACUGACGCUGAGGCACGAAAGCGUGGGUAUCGAACAGGAUUAGAUACCCUAGUAGUC
Molecule: ribosomal RNA, 459 nt
Filed under: uncultured bacterium
Lineage: Bacteria
Description: partial 16S ribosomal RNA
Rfam family: Bacterial small subunit ribosomal RNA
Source: RNAcentral